Molecule: long non-coding RNA, 715 nt
Organism: Vicia villosa (hairy vetch)
Lineage: Eukaryota; Viridiplantae; Streptophyta; Magnoliopsida; Fabales; Fabaceae
Exons: 4
Source: RefSeq, a predicted model, not a curated record
ACAAAGCAGAUGAUGUUUUAUUACUUGUGGAAUCUGUGAAAAUAUUAAUAUAAACCAAAAACAAUGUUACUUUGAACCACAAAGCGUAAACACUGUUGUCGGUCUUAUGCUGCAAUUUUGCAGGGAAUCUGAUUGCACUUAGGUAGCUUAUGUUACCUUUAAGGAUUCGCAGGGAGCAGAGACAACAGUUCUCUUGACCGCACGUUCAUAUAUACGCAUGUUAUAUGAGGAAGAGACAGCAGUUCUCUUCCGUCGAGUCCUACAAACCAAAGUAAGGCUGCUGUUAAGAAGGUUGAAGAUGCGAUAAGUACCAUGCUUGUCAAGGGUUUCAUUUUAGGAAAGGAUGCAAUAAACAAAACAAAUCUAACCUACUGAUAGUUGAGGAUGGAAACUACAAUGAAGAUUCUAUGGAGCGUGAUGAAAGGCGUCUCACAGAAUUAGGGCCCAUGAAUAAUUUCCCGUGUUUUCGUCUAGGAAAAAUUUGCCAUGGAGCAAAAAUAUCAAGUUGAAGCAGUGUUUCACAAAACGUCAUUUCAUUGGAAGAGCUGAUUGGCAUCAUCGCAUGUUAAGGCAGACUAAUUGUAUAAGGUGAUGUAUUCAAAUCAGAAGAUGCCAAAGUUAUUGAACCUGAGGGUGUGCCAAUCACCAUUCUUUAUCCUGGGUUUAUUUAUGGACCGGGCAAAGUCACUGCAGGAAAUGUUGUUGCAAAUAUGGU